GACGAACGCUGGCGGCGUGCUUAACACAUGCAAGUGGAGCGACGAAGCGGGCUUCGGCCCGUGGCAGAGCCGCGAACGGGUGAGUAACACGUGGGUAACCUGCCCCGAUGACUGGGACAACCCGGGGAAACCCGGGCUAAUACCGGAUGUUCUCCCAUCACACCAGUGGUGGAAGAAAAGGUAGCUUCGGCUUCCGCAUCGGGAUGGGCCCGCGGCCCAUUAGCUUGUUGGUGGGGUAAAGGCCUACCAAGGCAUCGAUGGGUAGCUGGUCUGAGAGGACGAUCAGCCACACUGGGACUGAGACACGGCCCAGACUCCUACGGGAGGCAGCAGUGGGGAAUCUUGCGCAAUGCGCGAAAGCGUGACGCAGCAACGCCGCGUGGGGGAAGAAGGCCUUCGGGUUGUAAACCCCUUUCAGGAGGGACGAAGGUCGGCUGGUGAAUAGCCAGUCCGACUGACGGUACCUCCACAAGAAGCCCCGGCUAACUACGUGCCAGCAGCCGCAGUAAAAC
RNAcentral lists this ribosomal RNA (512 nucleotides) under uncultured bacterium. Its description in RNAcentral is "bacterial SSU rRNA". It matches the Rfam family "Bacterial small subunit ribosomal RNA", at positions 28 to 526 of the family's 1533-position model. The record is from RNAcentral.